Molecule: ribosomal RNA, 447 nt
Filed under: uncultured bacterium
Lineage: Bacteria
Description: bacterial SSU rRNA
Rfam family: Bacterial small subunit ribosomal RNA
Source: RNAcentral
UGGGGAAUAUUGGACAAUGGGCGCAAGCCUGAUCCAGCCAUGCCGCGUGAGUGACGAAGGCCUUAGGGUUGUAAAGCUCUUUUGGCGGGGACGAUAAUGACGGUACCCGCAGAAUAAGCCCCGGCUAACUUCGUGCCAGCAGCCGCGGUAAUACGAAGGGGGCUAGCGUUGUUCGGAAUUACUGGGCGUAAAGCGCACGUAGGCGGAUGUGCCAGUCAGGGGUGAAAUCCCGAGGCUCAACCUCGGAACUGCCUACGAUACAGCACGUCUCGAGUCCGGAAGAGGUGAGUGGAAUUCCUAGUGUAGAGGUGAAAUUCGUAGAUAUUAGGAAGAACAUCAGUGGCGAAGGCGGCCCUCUGGUCCAGUACUGACACUCAAGUGCGAAAGCGUGGGGAGCAAACAGGAUUAGAUACCCUCGUAGUCCCUGAGCGGGCUGGCAAGGCGCAU